Molecule: ribosomal RNA, 781 nt
Filed under: Streptomyces novaecaesareae
Lineage: Bacteria; Bacillati; Actinomycetota; Actinomycetes; Kitasatosporales; Streptomycetaceae
Description: bacterial SSU rRNA
Rfam family: Bacterial small subunit ribosomal RNA
Source: RNAcentral
AGCCCUUCGGGGUGGAUCAGUGGCGAACGGGUGAGUAACACGUGGGCAAUCUGCCCUGCACUCUGGGACAAGCCCUGGAAACGGGGUCUAAUACCGGAUAUGACCUUCCUCCGCAUGGGGGUUGGUGUAAAGCUCCGGCGGUGCAGGAUGAGCCCGCGGCCUAUCAGCUUGUUGGUGGGGUAAUGGCCUACCAAGGCGACGACGGGUAGCCGGCCUGAGAGGGCGACCGGCCACACUGGGACUGAGACACGGCCCAGACUCCUACGGGAGGCAGCAGUGGGGAAUAUUGCACAAUGGGCGAAAGCCUGAUGCAGCGACGCCGCGUGAGGGAUGACGGCCUUCGGGUUGUAAACCUCUUUCAGCAGGGAAGAAGCGCAAGUGACGGUACCUGCAGAAGAAGCACCGGCUAACUACGUGCCAGCAGCCGCGGUAAUACGUAGGGUGCGAGCGUUGUCCGGAAUUAUUGGGCGUAAAGAGCUCGUAGGCGGCCUGUCGCGUCGGAUGUGAAAGCCCGGGGCUUAACCCCGGGUCUGCAUUCGAUACGGGCAGGCUAGAGUGUGGUAGGGGAGAUCGGAAUUCCUGGUGUAGCGGUGAAAUGCGCAGAUAUCAGGAGGAACACCGGUGGCGAAGGCGGAUCUCUGGGCCAUUACUGACGCUGAGGAGCGAAAGCGUGGGGAGCGAACAGGAUUAGAUACCCUGGUAGUCCACGCCGUAAACGUUGGGAACUAGGUGUUGGCGACAUUCCACGUCGUCGGUGCCGCAGCUAACGCAUUAAGUUCCC